CUGGAAGCAAGAGUGGAGAGCUGGCAGAGCCAGGGGAAUGGAGGCAGGAAGGACAGCGGGAGAGUUGACACACUGUGAAAGAACUCA
This 87-nucleotide long non-coding RNA is filed under the name Callithrix jacchus (white-tufted-ear marmoset). RNAcentral describes it as "lncRNA (ENSCJAG00000064323.2)". Lineage: Eukaryota; Metazoa; Chordata; Mammalia; Primates; Cebidae. The record is from RNAcentral.